CCGAUAGCGAACAAGUACCGUGAGGGAAAGGUGAAAAGUACCCCGGGAGGGGAGUGAAAUAGUACCUGAAACCGUGUGCCUACAAACCGUCGGAGCCUUUAGGGGUGACGGCGUGCCUUUUGAAGAAUGAGCCUGCGAGUUAGUGGUGUGUGGCGAGGUUAACCCGUGUGGGGAAGCCGUAGCGAAAGCGAGUUCGAAUAGAGCGAUUGAGUCGCACGCCCUAGACCCGAAGCGGAGUGAUCUAUCCAUGGGCAGGUUGAAGCGCGGGUAAGACCGCGUGGAGGACCGAACCCACCAGGGUUGAAAACCUGGGGGAUGACCUGUGGAUAGGGGUGAAAGGCCAAUCAAACUCCGUGAUAGCUGGUUCUCCCCGAAAUGCAUUUAGGUGCAGCGUCACGUGUUUCUUACCGGAGGUAGAGCUACUGGAUGGCCAAUGGGCCCUACAAGGUUACUGACGUCAGCCAAACUCCGAAUGCCGGUAAGUGAGAGCGUGGCAGUGAGACUGCGGGGGAUAAGCUCCGUAGUCGAGAGGGAAACAACCCAGAUCACCAGCUAAGGCCCCUAAGCGUGUGCUAAGUGGGAAAGGAUGUGGAGUUGCACAGACAACCAGGAGGUUGGCUUAGAAGCAGCCACCCUUUAAAGAGUGCGUAAUAGCUCACUGGUCAAGUGAUUCCGCGCCGACAAUGUAGCGGGGCUCAAGCACACCGCCGAAGCUGUGACAUUCAUGCAAUAGCCAGGCCUUCGUGGUCCAGGCGUGUGGAUGGGUAGGGGAGCGUCGUGUGGCGAGUGAAGCGGCGGGGUGACCCAGUCGUGGACGCCACACGAGUGAGAAUGCAGGCAUGAGUAGCGAAAGACGGGUGAGAAACCCGUCCGCCGAAUGACCAAGGGUUCCAGGGCCAGGCUAAUCCGCCCUGGGUAAGUCGGGACCUAAGGCGAGGCCGACAGGCGUAGUCGAUGGACAACGGGUUGAUAUUCCCGUACCGGCGAAGAAUCGCCCAUAUUGAACCCGGUAAUGCUAAACGCCCAAAGCCUUCCACCGUUACCUUCGGGUAACACCGGGAGUGCGGCGCGCGUGACCCGAACCGGUAGUAGGUAAGCGAUGGGGUGACGCAGGAAGGUAGCCACCGCGUGGCGAUGGUAGUCCACGUCCAAGGGUGUAGGGCGAGAUGUAGGCAAAUCCGCAUCUCAUAUAGCCUGAGACCUGAUGGUGACCGCAUUAGCGGGAAGCAGGGUGAUCCUAUGCUGCCUAGAAAAGCCUCUAGCGAGAUUCGAGCCGCCCGUACCCCAAACCGACUCAGGUGGUCAGGUAGAGAAUACUAAGGCGAUCGAGUGAAUCAUGGUUAAGGAACUCGGCAAAAUGCCCCCGUAACUUCGGGAGAAGGGGGGCCUGAGGGGUGAAGCCACUUGCUGGCUAGCCUUUGAAGGCCGCAGAGACCAGGGAGAAGCGACUGUUUACUAAAAACACAGGUCCGUGCGAAGUCGCAAGACGAUGUAUACGGACUGACGCCUGCCCGGUGCUGGAACGUUAAGGGGACGGGUUAGCCGCAAGGCGAAGCUCAGAACUUAAGCGCCAGUAAACGGCGGUGGUAACUAUAACCAUCCUAAGGUAGCGAAAUUCCUUGUCGGGUAAGUUCCGACCUGCGCGACUGGCGCAAUGAUGGCCAGGCUGUCUCCACCCGAGACUCAGUGAAAUUGAACUCGCUGU
This 1705-nucleotide ribosomal RNA is filed under the name Procambarus clarkii (red swamp crayfish). Its description in RNAcentral is "bacterial LSU rRNA". It matches the Rfam family "Bacterial large subunit ribosomal RNA", at positions 484 to 2054 of the family's 2925-position model. Lineage: Eukaryota; Metazoa; Arthropoda; Malacostraca; Decapoda; Cambaridae. The record is from RNAcentral.